GACUUGUAAAACAACAUUUAUUUACUCUUAGGCCUUAGGGAGUAGUAUAAAUCGGAGGAUCAUUUCAUUUGUAAAGAAUCCAAUAGUCCAACAAUCAAUACAAGUCCUCUCUUCCAAAAUCUUUCUUUGUCUUUCUUCUUAUUCUGUUAGCGUUCUGAGUUAAAAGGCUUAGUUGAGUUUACGAGAUCGUGAAAGAAUCGUGAGUAAGUUUUCAAGUGCUGCACGGAGUCUUAGCGAAUACUCUAAGUCCGUGACACUACGCUCUUUAUACAUUAGCAUGGGAUAACAUUAUAGAAUUUGGGUCCUAUUACAUUGGCCUUCGGGAUCGGAGUAAUGAUUAACAGGGACAGUCGGGGGCAUUCGUAUUUCAUAUUCAUAGGUGAAAUUCUUGGAUUUAUGAAAGACGAAAAACUGCGAACGCAUUUGCCAAGGAUGUUUUCAUUAAUCAAGAACGAAAGUUGGGGGCUCAAAGACGAUCAGAUACUGUCCCAGUCUCAACCAUAAACGAUGCCAACCAGGGAUCUGAUGAUGUUGCUUUUAGGACUCCGCCGGCACCUUAUGAGAAAUCAAAGUUUUUGGGUUCCGGGGGGAGUAUGGUCGUAAGGCCGAAACUUAAAGGAAUUGACGGAAGGGCACCACCAAGAGUGGAGCCUACUGCUUAAUUUGACUCAACACGGGGAAACUUACCAGGUCUAGACAUAGUAAGGAUUGACAGACUAAGAGCUCUUUCUUGAUUCUACGGUAGUGGUGCAUGGUCGUUCUUAGUUGGUGGAGCGAUUUGUCUGGUUAAUUCUUUUAACGAACGAGACCUCAGCCUACUAACUAGCUAUGCGGAGGUAUCCCUUCGCGGCCAGCUUCUUAGAGGGACUACGGCCUUUUAGGCCGUGCAAGUUUGAGGCAAUAACAGGUCUGCGAUGCCCUUAGAUUUUAUGAGCCGCACGCGCGCUACACUGAUGUAUUCAAUGAGCUUAUAGCCUCGGCUGACAGGACCGGGUAAUCUUUGAAAUUUCAUCGUGAUGGGGAUAAAUCAUUGCAAUUGUUGGUCUUCAACGAGGAAUUUCUAGUAAGCGUGAGUCACAAGCUUGCGUUGACAACGUCCUUGCCCUUUAUACACACCGCCCGUCGCUCCUACCAUUUGAAUGAUCUGGUGAAAUGUUCGGAUCGCGGCGACGUGGGCGGUUCGCUGCCCACAACGUCACGAGAAGUCCAUUGGACCUUAUUAUUUAGAGGAAGGAGAAGUCGUAACAAGGUUUCCGUAGGUGAACCUGUGGAAGGAUCAUUG
Molecule: non-coding RNA, 1282 nt
Organism: Solanum lycopersicum (tomato)
Lineage: Eukaryota; Viridiplantae; Streptophyta; Magnoliopsida; Solanales; Solanaceae
Source: Rfam